GGGUGGGCGCUGCUAUAAUGCAGUCGAGCGAUGGAUUAAGAGCUUGCUCUUAUGAAGUUAGCGGCGGACGGGUGAGUAACACGUGGGUAACCUGCCCAUAAGACUGGGAUAACUCCGGGAAACCGGGGCUAAUACCGGAUAACAUUUUGAACCGCAUGGUUCGAAAUUGAAAGGCGGCUUCGGCUGUCACUUAUGGAUGGACCCGCGUCGCAUUAGCUAGUUGGUGAGGUAACGGCUCACCAAGGCAACGAUGCGUAGCCGACCUGAGAGGGUGAUCGGCCACACUGGGACUGAGACACGGCCCAGACUCCUACGGGAGGCAGCAGUAGGGAAUCUUCCGCAAUGGACGAAAGUCUGACGGAGCAACGCCGCGUGAGUGAUGAAGGCUUUCGGGUCGUAAAACUCUGUUGUUAGGGAAGAACAAGUGCUAGUUGAAUAAGCUGGCACCUUGACGGUACCUAACCAGAAAGCCACGGCUAACUACGUGCCAGCAGCCGCGGUAAUACGUAGGUGGCAAGCGUUAUCCGGAAUUAUUGGGCGUAAAGCGCGCGCAGGUGGUUUCUUAAGUCUGAUGUGAAAGCCCACGGCUCAACCGUGGAGGGUCAUUGGAAACUGGGAGACUUGAGUGCAGAAGAGGAAAGUGGAAUUCCAUGUGUAGCGGUGAAAUGCGUAGAGAUAUGGAGGAACACCAGUGGCGAAGGCGACUUUCUGGUCUGUAACUGACACUGAGGCGCGAAAGCGUGGGGAGCAAACAGGAUUUAGAUACCCUGGUAGUCCACGCCGUAAACGAUGAGUGCUAAGUGUUAGAGGGUUUCCGCCCUUUAGUGCUGAAGUUAACCGCAUUAAGCACUCCGCCUGGGGGAGUACGGCCGCAAGGCUGAAACUCAAAGGAAUUGACGGGGGCCCGCACAAGCGGUGGAGCAUGUGGUUUUAAUUCGAAGCAACGCGAAGAACUUACCAGGUCUUGACAUCCUUCUGACAACCCUAGAGAUAGGGCUUCCUCCUUCGGAAGCGAA
RNAcentral lists this ribosomal RNA (1016 nucleotides) under Bacillus cereus. Its description in RNAcentral is "bacterial SSU rRNA". It matches the Rfam family "Bacterial small subunit ribosomal RNA", at positions 37 to 1030 of the family's 1533-position model. The record is from RNAcentral. Lineage: Bacteria; Bacillati; Bacillota; Bacilli; Caryophanales; Bacillaceae.